This 490-nucleotide ribosomal RNA is filed under the name uncultured bacterium. RNAcentral's name for it is "partial 16S ribosomal RNA". It matches the Rfam family "Bacterial small subunit ribosomal RNA", at positions 30 to 507 of the family's 1533-position model. The record is from RNAcentral.
AUUGAACGCUGGCGGCAGGCCUAACACAUGCAAGUCGAACGGUAACAGGAAGAAUCUUGCUUCUUUGCUGACGGGUGGCGGACGGGUGAGUAAUGUCUGGGAAACUGCCUGAUGGAGGGGGAUAACUACUGGAAACGGUAGCUAAUACCGCAUAACGUCGCAAGACCAAAGAGGGGGACCUUCGGGCCUCUUGCCAUCGGAUGUGCCCAGAUGGGAUUAGCUAGUAGGUGGGGUAACGGCUCACCUAGGCGACGAUCCCUAGCUGGUCUGAGAGGAUGACCAGCCACACUGGAACUGAGACACGGUCCAGACUCCUACGGGAGGCAGCAGUGGGGAAUAUUGCACAAUGGGCGCAAGCCUGAUGCAGCCAUGCCGCGUGUAUGAAGAAGGCCUUCGGGUUGUAAAGUACUUUCAGCGGGGAGGAAGGGAGUAAAGUUAAUACCUUUGCUCAUUGACGUUACCCGCAGAAGAAGCACCGGCUAACUCCGUG